GCAUAUCCUAUUAAAGCGGAGGAAAAAGAAAACCAACAGGGGAUUGCCCCAGUAACGGCGAGUGAAGCGGCAACAGCUCAAAUUUGAAAUCUGGCUCUCGGGCCCGAGUUGUAAUUUGUAGAGGAUGCUUUUGGUGAGGUGCCUUCCGAGUUCCCUGGAACGGGACGCCAUAGAGGGUGAGAGCCCCGUCUGGUUGGACACCGAUCCUCUGUAAAGCUCCUUCGACGAGUCGAGUAGUUUGGGAAUGCUGCUCUAAAUGGGAGGUAUAUGUCUUCUAAAGCUAAAUACCGGCCAGAGACCGAUAGCGCACAAGUAGAGUGAUCGAAAGAUGAAAAGAACUUUGAAAAGAGAGUUAAAAAGUACGUGAAAUUGUUGAAAGGGAAGCGCUUGUGACCAGACUUGGGCUUGGUUGAUCAUCCGGGGUUCUCCCCGGUGCACUCUUCCGGCUCAGGCCAGCAUCAGUUCGCCCUGGGGGAUAAAGGCUUCGGGAAUGUGGCUCUCUCCGGGGAGUGUUAUAGCCCGCUGCGUAAUACCCUGUGGCGGACUGAGGUUCGCGCAUUCGCAAGGAUGCUGGCGUAAUGGUCAUCAGUGACCCGUCUUGAAACACGGACCAAGGAGUCGUCUUCGUAUGCGAGUGUUCGGGUGUCAAACCCCUACGCGAAAUGAAAGUGAACGCAGGUGAGAGCUUCGGCGCAUCAUCGACCGAUCCUGAUGUUAUCGGAUGGAUUUGAGUAAGAGCAUACGGGGCCGGACCCGAAAGAAGGUGAACUAUGCCUGUGUAGGGUGAAGCCAGAGGAAACUCUGGUGGAGGCUCGCAGCGGUUCUGACGUGCAAAUCGAUCGUCAAACAUGGGCAUGGGGGGCGAAAGACUAAUCGAACCUUUCUAGUAGCUGGUUUCCGCCGAAG
RNAcentral lists this ribosomal RNA (906 nucleotides) under Fusarium solani. RNAcentral describes it as "LSU rRNA". It matches the Rfam family "Eukaryotic large subunit ribosomal RNA", at positions 38 to 966 of the family's 3401-position model. The record is from RNAcentral. Lineage: Eukaryota; Fungi; Ascomycota; Sordariomycetes; Hypocreales; Nectriaceae.